AUGAGACCGGCGCCGCGCAUAUCUACUCCGCCGACCUCCCCGGUAACUCUCGGCCCGCUCCUCCGCUCCUCCCGGCACUAUUUCUGUUUCUUAAUUUUGGCCGUGACAUCGACAUGGGUGGUGUACGUUCGAUUAUUAGGCGUGAAGAAGGAGGAGAUCAGGGUGGAGAUUGAGGACGGGAGGUACCUCGUCAUACGCACCGAGCUGGACGCUCGUGACGCGGAAGUCCACGGCCGCCGAGGCAGUUUCGCAAGGAAGUUCCGGCUGCCGGGGAUGGUGAACACCGACGGCAUCACGACCGACUACGCCCGCGGCGUACUGACCGUGACAGUGCCCAGGAUGCACACCCGGGCCCAGCCCGUGGUCAAUCUCAUCGGGCUUGGUCCUGCCUGCGACCCCGGUCUUCCUUGCUCUUGGCUUGAAGGGCUCAGUAAUGAGGAAAAUAAAAAAACACAUGAAUGUAGAAGGUUGAGCUUCGGAUGGCUCUCCUCCCCCCUUCGCUCUACUCUCCCCUCCCAUCCGUCCUCUCCCUUGCCCACUGGCCUGGUGGCUGCUGUCGCAGCCUUCCCCUCCCUCCCCCUCUUCCUCUCUCGUGCAUCCCCCCGUGCCUUCCUCGCCUCCGUUGUCUGCCUUGUCGCUCACUGGGGAGUUGUGUGGUGGUUCGGAGCCGCUGCCAAUCGAUUAUGGGCACUCCUCACCGAGGUCCCCGACUCCGAAGAUGAGGACACGCGCUCGACGUUCAUGUCGGGUUGGCGCGGACGUCCUGAAGUGUGCUCGCCACUGGAGCAGGGCUGGAUGCACAUUCACUGGCACGGUCGUCCCUCAGUUCCCCCUGCUCCCUCGUGCGUCGGUUGCCUAGUCUAUGCUGAGGCCUUCUGGGGCGGCGCUCGGGCCGCUGCUCCCAAAGCCGGUCGCGUCCAUGAACAAGUCCCAUGGCUCGUUAGCGAGGUGGCCUCAGGUGCUAAGCGUCGCCGGGAGGGCUCAAUGGAGGCCGCGUCUGACUUGGAGUACGAGGCGGCUCUCCGGUCCAAGCUUGAGGCCAAGCGGGCUGCGCGCGACCAGGUCCAACAUGACGGCGCCUGCGGUCAACGCGGCUUCGGGCUGGGGCGCCCUGGUGCCAGAUCCCUAGGAGGCUACGGCGUCGGGCUUGGCUGCAGCUCCUAG
RNAcentral lists this ribosomal RNA (1164 nucleotides) under Triticum aestivum (bread wheat). RNAcentral's name for it is "partial small subunit ribosomal RNA". The record is from RNAcentral. Lineage: Eukaryota; Viridiplantae; Streptophyta; Magnoliopsida; Poales; Poaceae.